Tupaia belangeri chinensis (Chinese tree shrew) is the source of this 2053-nucleotide long non-coding RNA. RefSeq lists it as uncharacterized. The record is from RefSeq and is a predicted model, not a curated record. The transcript is spliced from 3 exons. NCBI's taxonomy places the organism in Eukaryota, Metazoa, Chordata, Mammalia, Scandentia, Tupaiidae.
CUCACCGCCCCGCUUUCCCGAGGACAGGGGUGGGGCGGGGCUUACGCCCUGCGGCACGUUCACGGGCAGGCGGGAUUACGUAUCGGUGACGUCAGGGGGCGUGGGGGCAGCCCCUGGCUUCCCUUGGGCAGGCCCUGGGCGAGGGCAGCUGGUCUCCCGCAUCCUUCGCGGAGCUCCGCCCGGCCAUUUUGGGCUUUCCGAGUCCAGGGCGUCGACCUGUCACGACUUCACUGCAGCAUCGGGGCUGCCGCGUGCUUUUCUAUUUUCAUUUCUCGUCUCUACCUGCAAUCGAGGCAGCUCAUUUUACUGCACUUGUUUGCCUGGUAAAUUCACGAAUCAAGGUGCCAAUUAUGUGUAGGAUGCCUGCUGGAUAAGGAGGGAUGAAACGUACUCAAACACAAAUGGAAGGUGGUUUCCCUGCAACAGUUGAUGGCCAAGGAUAUCAAACCUUAAACUCAGAACAUGGCAGGUGAGUAAAAGUUGACCCUAUUUUUCAAAUAAAAGAUCAGUGUUCUCAAAACUUACAUAUGUAGUCUUCUUAAACAGCUCCCUCCUCCCUCCAAACAAACUACCUCGCUGGUCCAGCCUGAACAACAUGCACCAAGACUUUGGCUUCCUUAGAACAAGCCAUUGAGACUUCCUCUUGAGAUAGGGGCAUCCAGAGAAAGGAUUCACACAUUUAUUCACAACUCAGGCUCCUCAAGGGUUUGGGAUCUCCCCAAUCAGACUCCUUCGUCCUGCUAUGCCCACAAUCUCAGAGGUGUUUGGAAUUUUCUGUGCUAGGGUAGAUAGAAUUUUCAAAAACAGCCAGUCACACAGAACAGCUCCAGACCAAGCCAUUUCCCAAUCCCGGACGGGAAGUUGCUUCAGUUUCUCUUAAGUUGUUACACAGCAUUGCCAUGGCAGCAAAAAGGUUAACCAUUAAGAAUGGACCUGUUCAACGACUGAACCAACAAAAACCUGAACCUAGAUCAGGAUCCUGGUCUAUCUCAUGUAGUCAAAUGUAAAGUCUAAUGAAUGUUAGAUAAUUAAGAAGAGUAAUCUAUCUUCCCCACUUAAUUUUGUCAACAGAACAGCCAAACAAAGCCUGGAGAAUGCUCUCAUCUUAUUGGAAUGGAUUACCAUGCCCAUCCCUGCUAUGGCAAGACACAAUGGUAGAAACUUAGGGCUGUGGUUCUAUCCAAGAAGGUUUCUCUCACCAUUACCCCGGAGUACCCACAGUGACUGUCAUAAACUAAUAUUGCAUGAUUGAAGGCACACUCCAGUUACUGGUUGAUGAAGGAGAUAGGGAAGCAUUUCUGUGUGGAAGCCAUAAAGGAAAAAAAAGGGAAUGAAGACCAAGGUCCCACACCCCACACCCUCCCCAAGCAGCUCAGAUAUCCCAAGAUAGUCCUUAUUGUUUGAAAAAUAGUUUGUAGACCAUUUUAUUUAAAUAUAUGAACAACCAAUGGGCUACUGCAAUCCAAGUAAACUCUUCACAUUUUAGAACCUUUGUGAAGUAUAGUAAGAUAAAGUAAGACUGUUGGUCUUUGGCAGAUUCCUCCUGCCCCCCAGACCGGGACAUAGAGAUACAGAUAAAUGUUUAUAUAGUUAAAGAGCGGAGGUCCAGGUGAAAAUCCCCCACCCCAAGAUGGCUCCCCAACCCAAAAAUUACCAUUGGCCCCUGAGAACACCCAAAGACCACCCUCCCAGGUUUCACACAAUAUCAAUUGCAGGAACAGUCGUGCAUGGCAAAGUAUAAGUUCUAUGCAUUUCACAGCACAGAAAACCCUUCUUUCAGAGGGCAUGCAAGUUGCCGAAGAUUACACCCCCAAGUCUGGUGCUCUUGUGAUGAGCAACUUACUGGCAAACACAUCUCCCAGUGUUGUAAGCAGGCAAAUACAUUGAGCACAUUUUGCCGUAAUUCCAUCUAUUUGCAAUGCCUGCACAGUGUCUGUCUCUGGCUGUUAACUUACUCAUUCUUGACAGAACUCUGCUUUAUUGAUUGCACUUUUUAAAAAAUGCCAAAGGCAUUUUCACACUUGUUAGCUUGACCGCCACCACUAGGGUAUAA